GUUUAUGUGAAGUAUUAAGUUGAACCUUAAUUGGUGGAUUUUGUUUAUUUUUCUUGCUUUAUUUGCCUCUUUCUAAGAGAAAUGUAUCACAGAACAAAGAAUUGUAUCUUCAGCGUUCCAUGUGGUUGAGUACAUUUCUUGGAGAAAACUCCACGCUGAUCAAAUUAAGAAUCCACUGUAUUUCAGGACUAGGUUGGAGGUCAUUACCUGUUUAUCUGUUUUGUUUGUUUUGUUUUUAAGUGACUGGAACUUUUUUUUUUUAAACCCCAAACUUUCAAGCCGUCACACUAGGGAUGUCAGGAAGAAGCGUCGUGAGCCAUAAAAGGGCACUCUUUUCCUUUCGGUAAUAUCAGAAAGAACCAUGAAGUUAUCAUGGAGCUGAUCUCUGGAUUCAAGGUCGUCGUCAUGCUGCACUGGUCUAGAUCCCAGCUCUUCAAACUGGUUCUUGGAUCCGUAGCAGCAACAUCAUCUGGGAGACUGCAGAAAAUGCGGAUCAUCCACCCUUGCGGAGACCCAUAGAAUCCGAGGCUGCAUUUUCACAUGGAUUGAGUAACACUGGUCUGGAUGAUCAUUGCUCUCAAACAAUUUUUAAAGCCAGGAAAUCUUUUAUUCAAAGGAAAUCUAAGUGGAAGAAUGCUACAAAGAUACUCAAUGGUGGGAUGCUCUGCUUUUCAGGCCUUAUGACAGGGAAACCUUAGUCCUUCUGAGGUGCCUUUGUCGCCCUCCACAACUUCACCCUGGUUUCUGCCGUCUUGAGUAAGGCAUAAUUGGAAAACCCCUGAUCUAGAGUGUCUUCAGAGUCUCGAAGCUAUACGGACACUAUAAAUGCACAAUGUUUCAUAAUUCAGACCAGCCUUCAAGUUUAUGAGAAGCAGAAUAGCAACCUUUGCCAUGACUAUAGACAUAUUAGUUUGGUGAAAACAUAAUUGCAGUUUCUGCCAUUACUUUUAAAAAACCGCAAUUACUUUUCCACCAACCUAACAGUUUCAUGGUGCCGUCAUGAACUUGUCUGGGCCAGUGGCUACCAAACUCGUCCAAUCAUCACAAUCAUUAGAGAAUGUUCUUUGAAAAAUGAAAAUCCUGUGGAAUCAGAAUUUCCAGGGGAAGUAAGCUGGUAGUCUAUUUAUUUAACAGUCUCCAGGUGAAUUGAAAAGAGUUACAGGAAAUUCAGCUACAACCUUCAAAAGAGCAAUAUCAUCUUUCUCAAGAGAUGCUUUUUGACUUGAGCUACUCAAAUAAAUGCUUCAACUGUAUACCUUUUAGUUAAACCCAG
RNAcentral lists this long non-coding RNA (1273 nucleotides) under Macaca mulatta (Rhesus monkey). Its description in RNAcentral is "lncRNA (ENSMMUG00000043447.2)". The record is from RNAcentral. Lineage: Eukaryota; Metazoa; Chordata; Mammalia; Primates; Cercopithecidae.